RNAcentral lists this transfer-messenger RNA (355 nucleotides) under Vicinamibacterales. Its description in RNAcentral is "UBA2999 sp002346475 Standard tmRNA". It matches the Rfam family "transfer-messenger RNA". From Rfam's summary of the family: Bacterial tmRNA, also known as 10Sa RNA or SsrA, is named for its dual tRNA and mRNA-like properties. Its role is to liberate the mRNA from a stalled ribosome. The record is from RNAcentral. RNAcentral also lists the same sequence under 1 other name. Lineage: Bacteria; Pseudomonadati; Acidobacteriota; Vicinamibacteria.
GGGGGCGAUACGGCUUCGACGAGGGUGUGAAAUCGCAGGAUGCAUGUCGAGCACCAUCGACUCGUUAAUCCGAUGGAACAUCCGUUAACUGCGGAUACUAACUACGCUCUCGCAGCUUAAACAGCUGUGAGCGUCUGCCUUGGCCUUGCCUGGUGGUUGGGGGUCAGACGUCAUUAAGCAGGCUGGCGAUUUGGAUGGCGACUCGGCGUCCAGUCGUGAGAAAUACCGAGUCUGGUGUCCGGCAGUUUUUCGCCGCUUCUGCAUGCUGGACAUAAGACACUGGAAGCGGACACGCAUGUAGAUUCUUACGACAACGUGCUUUCGGACGCGGGUUCGACUCCCGCCGCCUCCACCA